This 363-nucleotide transfer-messenger RNA is filed under the name uncultured Bulleidia sp. It matches the Rfam family "transfer-messenger RNA". From Rfam's summary of the family: Bacterial tmRNA, also known as 10Sa RNA or SsrA, is named for its dual tRNA and mRNA-like properties. Its role is to liberate the mRNA from a stalled ribosome. The record is from RNAcentral. Lineage: Bacteria; Bacillati; Bacillota; Erysipelotrichia; Erysipelotrichales; Erysipelotrichaceae.
GGGGUUGUCAUGGUUUCGACAGGUUUAUGUUUGAUUCAGGCUGCAGUGGAGUGAUGACCUAAUCAUCAAUUAAAUUUAAACGCUAACAAUAACGUUAACUACGCUUUUGCCUAAGUCGUAACAAUUACGCAGCAUAGCACAGUCUUAUGAUCGGCCACUGAUCAUAAUUCGCACCUGGUAUGCCAGGACCACGUGGAUAGGGUGUUUCUAAUGUCUAUAGGAAAUGCAUGAAAAUGAAUAGGCAAAUUCAACGAAUGUGUGUUCACUGACUUGUUCGUUGUCUUAUCUAACAGUGAACUAAACUGUAGAAGCUUGAAUGUGGGACUACUCUUGGACACGGGUUCGACUCCCGUCAGCUCCACU